Cyprinus carpio (common carp) is the source of this 752-nucleotide long non-coding RNA. RefSeq lists it as uncharacterized. The transcript is spliced from 3 exons. NCBI's taxonomy places the organism in Eukaryota, Metazoa, Chordata, Actinopteri, Cypriniformes, Cyprinidae. The record is from RefSeq and is a predicted model, not a curated record.
CGAUUAUCUGCCUUAUCCUAGUGUGUGGUUUUCUCCACAAUAAACAUCUCCGCAAAUGGAUUCAAAUACUCAACCGAGUCAGUCAUCCUUACAGAAUACUUCGCCUGACCAGAAUCCAGCGGAGAUUUCACAUCUUCAGGCCGCCUUUGCUUAUCAAAAUGAGAGGAUUACGUAGUUCCAAGCUCAACUUUCAUCUCUGCGAGCCGCUAAUGAACAUCUCACCCGCUACAUACAAUCUCUCCCAGCGACUCGACCUGAGGCGGCUACAAGAUCAGUCAUCAUGGAGUGGAGAUGGACGCAAGGAAGGUUGAGGCAGUUACAGAGUGGCCACGUCCCACUACGAAAACUAACCACAGCAGAGAAAAACUAUGAUGUAGGAAACAAGGAACUACUUUCCAUCAAGGAAGCACUGUCUGAGUGGAGACACUGGUUGGAGGGAGCACGUCAUCCAUUUCAGGUGAUUACAGAUCACAAAAAUUUGGAGUAUAUCAAGAGUGCUAAACGUCUGAACCCGAGGCAGGCUCGGUGGUCAUUAUUCUUCACAAGAUUUCAUUUCACAGUAACAUAUCGCCCAGGAAGCAAGAAUGGUAAAGCCGACGCGUUGUCACGAAUAUAUGAGUCAGAGGAAACUUCUUGCUGCCAAGGACCAAUUCUACCUCCAUCAGCCAUUUUGGCACCUAUUCGUUGGGAUAUAAUGGAGGAAAUUCAAAGAAAACAACUAACAGAACCCACACCAUCAGGUUGCCCCCCUA